GUCGAGCGGAACGAGUUAUCUGAACCUUCGGGGAACGAUAACGGCGUCGAGCGGCGGACGGGUGAGUAAUGCCUAGGAAAUUGCCCUGAUGUGGGGGAUAACCAUUGGAAACGAUGGCUAAUACCGCAUAAUGCCUACGGGCCAAAGAGGGGGACCUUCGGGCCUCUCGCGUCAGGAUAUGCCUAGGUGGGGUUAGCUAGUUGGUGAGGUAAGGGCUCACCAAGGCGACGAUCCCUAGCUGGUCUGAGAGGAUGAUCAGCCACACUGGAACUGAGACACGGUCCAGACUCCUACGGGAGGCAGCAGUGGGGAAUAUUGCACAAUGGGCGCAAGCCUGAUGCAGCCAUGCCGCGUGUGUGAAGAAGGCCUUCGGGUUGUAAAGCACUUUCAGUCGUGAAGAAGGUAGUGUAGUUAAUAGCUGCAUUAUUUGACGUUAGCGACAGAAGAAGCACCGGCUAACUCCGUGCCAGCAGCCGCGGUAAUACGGAGGGUGCGAGCGUUAAUCGGAAUUACUGGGCGUAAAGCGCAUGCAGGUGGUUUGUUAAGUCAGACGUGAAAGCCCGGGGCUCAACCUCGGAAUUGCAUUUGAAACUGGCAGACUAGAGUACUGUAGAGGGGGGUAGAAUUUCAGGUGUAGCGGUGAAAUGCGUAGAGAUCUGAAGGAAUACCGGUGGCGAAGGCGGCCCCCUGGACAGAUACUGACACUCAGAUGCGAAAGCGUGGGGAGCAAACAGGAUUAGAUACCCUGGUAGUCCACGCCGUAAACGAUGUCUACUAGGAGGUUGUGGCCUUGAGCCGUGGCUUUCGGAGCUAACGCGUUAAGUAGACCGCCUGGGGAGUACGGUCGCAAGAUUAAAACUCAAAUGAAUUGACGGGGGCCCGCACAAGCGGUGGAGCAUGUGGUUUAAUUCGAUGCAACGCGAAGAACCUUACCUACUCUUGACAUCCAGAGAACUUUCCAGAGAUGGAUUGGUGCCUUCGGGAACUCUGAGACAGGUGCUGCAUGGCUGUCGUCAGCUCGUGUUGUGAAAUGUUGGGUUAAGUCCCGCAACGAGCGCAACCCUUAUCCUUGUUUGC
Molecule: ribosomal RNA, 1077 nt
Filed under: uncultured marine bacterium
Lineage: Bacteria
Description: bacterial SSU rRNA
Rfam family: Bacterial small subunit ribosomal RNA
Source: RNAcentral